UGAUGGUGUUCGUUGUCCCUCGGAACAUCCUUUGCAUAGAGAGGAGACUUUGCAUAGCCAGCACAUGCUUCAGUGCUCUGGUAGUGUUUAUAGCCUUGUGAGUUUAACACUUCAUGACUGAGAGCUGUCCUUCAUGACAACAGAACCCACAACAACUAUGACUUUUAUCACCAUCUUCAUCUGGACACUUGCCCUCUGUCUCCAAGAGUCCAGAGGCCAGGUCACUGUGACCCAGACUCCUGCAGUGAAAGCUGUUUCAGUGGGUCACACAGUCAGUCUCAGCUGUAAGACCAGCAGUGCAGUAUACAGUGAUAAACAUGGACAGAGGUUGGCCUGGUAUCAACAGAAACUCGGAGAAUCUCCUAAACUCCUUACAUAUUUCAUUAGUACCCUUAACUCUGGGAUACCAUCUAGAUUCAGUGGCAGUGGAUCUGGGAGUGACUUCACUCUGACCAUCGGUGGAGUCCAGGCUGAAGAUGCAGGAGAUUACUACUGUCAGAGUUUCCACCUUCCCAACAGUGUCUGGGUGGUAACACAGUGAUACAGAGACGUACAAAAACCUCCCUCAGUCAGACUGCACAGUGACUGUACUGAUACAGCUGGGACCUACUGCAGGUGAUAAGGGGGAAGAGACAGUGACAUGGAAUACUGAUCAGUAGAAGAGGUCAACUUUGAAAACAGAAAGAAUCAUACGUUCUCCAACAUCAUCAUCAUCGUCAUUAUUAUCAUCAUCAAGGUUCCAACUUGUUAUUUUGGACAUUAACUGAAAGUGUAUAUAAAAGUUAUUUGUAGUUUUGGAAGACAAUACCAGUCCAUAGUAGAGUAAGAUGUACAGAAGUAAGAGGAAAAGUAUCAGCCCCCCAAACCAAUUCCCUACAUGCACUUCACAACCAGUUAUUGAUGUGAUCAUCUAGCAUGUAUUAACUCUUUUCAUGAGCUGUUAGAUCUGUGAAUGAGACAUGAUGCUGGGCUCAAACAUGACACAUUUAUGUAGAGACAUACACUACACACGAUAUAUAUAUGUGUAAUGGAAAGCAACCUUUGAGCUCAGAUAUGUUAUGAGGGCAGAUCUUUAGAGGUUUAUUUUUUUAUUAUUGCUACAUAAGGUUGAUGUUAUGUGGACAAUUCUCUCACUUCGGUGACUCUGCCCUCUACCAAUGUGUCCACAGACAUUAUUAAAAAGAAACAGCCUGAAAGUCUUUCCCGUGGAGAAGAUAACAUCUCAUAACGUUGUUCAAUUGCAUGAUUACAUUUUGUUUUAAUGAGAGAAUAUAAAAAUGGACUUAAUUUUCA
This is a non-coding RNA of Oncorhynchus gorbuscha (pink salmon), 1293 nucleotides long. The record is from the annotation of a RefSeq genome assembly. NCBI's taxonomy places the organism in Eukaryota, Metazoa, Chordata, Actinopteri, Salmoniformes, Salmonidae.